RNAcentral lists this ribosomal RNA (1217 nucleotides) under Bacillus sp. (in: firmicutes). RNAcentral's name for it is "bacterial SSU rRNA". It matches the Rfam family "Bacterial small subunit ribosomal RNA", at positions 154 to 1358 of the family's 1533-position model. The record is from RNAcentral. Lineage: Bacteria; Bacillati; Bacillota; Bacilli; Caryophanales; Bacillaceae.
AAACCGGAGCUAAUACCGGAUAGUUCCUUGAACCGCAUGGUUCAAGGAUGAAAGACGGUUUCGGCUGUCACUUACAGAUGGACCCGCGGCGCAUUAGCUAGUUGGUGGGGUAAUGGCUCACCAAGGCGACGAUGCGUAGCCGACCUGAGAGGGUGAUCGGCCACACUGGGACUGAGACACGGCCCAGACUCCUACGGGAGGCAGCAGUAGGGAAUCUUCCGCAAUGGACGAAAGUCUGACGGAGCAACGCCGCGUGAGUGAUGAAGGUUUUCGGAUCGUAAAGCUCUGUUGUUAGGGAAGAACAAGUGCGAGAGUAACUGCUCGCACCUUGACGGUACCUAACCAGAAAGCCACGGCUAACUACGUGCCAGCAGCCGCGGUAAUACGUAGGUGGCAAGCGUUGUCCGGAAUUAUUGGGCGUAAAGGGCUCGCAGGCGGUUUCUUAAGUCUGAUGUGAAAGCCCCCGGCUCAACCGGGGAGGGUCAUUGGAAACUGGGAAACUUGAGUGCAGAAGAGGAGAGUGGAAUUCCACGUGUAGCGGUGAAAUGCGUAGAGAUGUGGAGGAACACCAGUGGCGAAGGCGACUCUCUGGUCUGUAACUGACGCUGAGGAGCGAAAGCGUGGGGAGCGAACAGGAUUAGAUACCCUGGUAGUCCACGCCGUAAACGAUGAGUGCUAAGUGUUAGGGGGUUUCCGCCCCUUAGUGCUGCAGCUAACGCAUUAAGCACUCCGCCUGGGGAGUACGGUCGCAAGACUGAAACUCAAAGGAAUUGACGGGGGCCCGCACAAGCGGUGGAGCAUGUGGUUUAAUUCGAAGCAACGCGAAGAACCUUACCAGGUCUUGACAUCCUCUGACAACCCUAGAGAUAGGGCUUUCCCUUCGGGGACAGAGUGACAGGUGGUGCAUGGUUGUCGUCAGCUCGUGUCGUGAGAUGUUGGGUUAAGUCCCGCAACGAGCGCAACCCUUGAUCUUAGUUGCCAGCAUUCAGUUGGGCACUCUAAGGUGACUGCCGGUGACAAACCGGAGGAAGGUGGGGAUGACGUCAAAUCAUCAUGCCCCUUAUGACCUGGGCUACACACGUGCUACAAUGGACAGAACAAAGGGCUGCAAGACCGCAAGGUUUAGCCAAUCCCAUAAAUCUGUUCUCAGUUCGGAUCGCAGUCUGCAACUCGACUGCGUGAAGCUGGAAUCGCUAGUAAUCGCGGAUCAGCAUGCC